RNAcentral lists this long non-coding RNA (340 nucleotides) under Vigna radiata. RNAcentral's name for it is "long non-coding RNA (VRAD_LNC002152)". Lineage: Eukaryota; Viridiplantae; Streptophyta; Magnoliopsida; Fabales; Fabaceae. The record is from RNAcentral.
UGAAAUCAAAUUAGAAUGCAUGCAUGCUUUCAAUCCAGAGAUUGCACAACAGAUGUUACACAUUAUGAAUGACCAAUCCACUAAGCAAAAAUGCACUCAUGAAAAUUAACAGUUAAAACCAAGCAAGUGUUUCACUCAAGUGUUUAAGGUGACAACAACUUAAGCACAACUCUCUUCCUCACCAAUCUCACUCAUUCCCAACUUAUUCCUCUUUUCUUUUUCAUUGAGCUCCUCUCCAUGCUUUUCUUUUUUUCUUUUUUUUUUCUCAUGAAUUUUUCUAUUCACAACAUUUGAGCUCAAUGCUUUUCACUUGCCUUUCAAUUUUCCCCCAUACAACCCC